RNAcentral lists this ribosomal RNA (407 nucleotides) under uncultured bacterium. RNAcentral's name for it is "partial 16S ribosomal RNA". It matches the Rfam family "Bacterial small subunit ribosomal RNA", at positions 28 to 526 of the family's 1533-position model. The record is from RNAcentral.
GACGAACGCUGGCGGCGUGCCUAAUACAUGCAAGUAGGACGCAGUUGCGAACGGGUGAGUAAUGCGUUGGUUACUGCCUGUUAGAGGGGGAUAACAAUUGGAAACGAUAGCUAAUACCGCAUACUAGUAUAUGGACCUGCGUUGUAUUAGCUAGUUGGUAGGGUAAUGGCCUACCUAGGCAACGAUACAUAGCCGACCUGAGAGGGUGGUCGGCCACACUGGGACGGAGACACGGCCCAGACUCCUACGGGAGGCAGCAGUAGGGAAUCUUCGGCAAUGGGGGGAACCCUGACCGAGCAACGCCGCGUGAGGGAAGAAGGGUUUCGGAUCGUAAAGCUCGGUUGUUAAGGAAGCGGUACUUAACCAGAAAGGGACGGCUAACUACGUGCCAGCAGCCGCGGUAAUAC